This 326-nucleotide ribosomal RNA is filed under the name Amblyseius andersoni. Its description in RNAcentral is "partial 12S ribosomal RNA". The record is from RNAcentral. Lineage: Eukaryota; Metazoa; Arthropoda; Arachnida; Mesostigmata; Phytoseiidae.
AACUAGGAUUAGAUACCCUAUUAUUUUAAAGUUUAUUUUAAAGUAGUAAAUUAUUUUUUCUAAACUUAAUUUUUCUGGCGGUUCAUUACUCUAUCAGAGGAGCUUGUUAGUAUAAUUCGAUAACCCGCUGUUAUGCUCACCAUUUUUGUUUUUAUGUACGGCUGUUAAGUUUUAAGAUUUAGCUUAUUGCUUUUAGGGUAAUUUCCCAGUAGUUCAGGUCAAUGUGUAAACUAUAAAUUGGUACUAAUGAGCUACUUUUUUCCAUAAAAUUAAUUGUAUUUGAAAUUGGAUUUGAUAGUAAAUAAAAAAUUAAACUUUUUGUGAUG